This 441-nucleotide long non-coding RNA is filed under the name Ananas comosus (pineapple). Its description in RNAcentral is "long non-coding RNA (ACOM_LNC016482)". The record is from RNAcentral. Lineage: Eukaryota; Viridiplantae; Streptophyta; Magnoliopsida; Poales; Bromeliaceae.
GUUAUAUAUUAUUGGACUAACCUGUUGCAGUGCCUCAUUAGACCUAUUGGUUGAGCUUUUCCCUUGGGUGGCCGUACCCACUAGGAAUCAUGGAGUUGGUUCUCACCUCACGUUGUUUUGGGGUGUUACAGGUUCACACGUGAGUGGCGCGGCGGCGCGAGUCGAGGGUGUAGCUCCGUAGUUAGCGCCCUACUACUGAGACCAGAGAUAGCGGUACCCUGAGUCGACUACUUAGGGAUGUAAGAAAAUGAAAGGAAAAAGAUUGCAAUAAUUUGUAAUAAAAGCAUAAUUGUAUUUGAAAAUUAAAUGUAAUAUGUAAUUGUGAUGUAAAAUGUAUCUAAUGAAUGUGAAUGCUUGUAAUAACAAGUAGAUUAUAUUUUUGAUACUUCCUUAUGCAAUUUUUGAUUGAAAUGUGUUCCUGGUUGGAACUUCAUACAUUGU